GACGAACGCUGGCGGUGUGCUUAACACAUGCAAGUCGAACGGUAAGGCCCUUUCGGGGGUACACGAGUGGCGAACGGGUGAGUAACACGUGAGUAACCUGCCCUCAUCUCUGGGAUAACAGUCGGAAACGGUUGCUAAUACUGGAUAUGAGCUUGCAAGGCAUCUUGUGGGUUGGAAAGAUUUUUUUUGGUUGGGGAUGGACUCGCGGCCUAUCAGCUUGUUGGUGAGGUAGUGGCUCACCAAGGCUUCGACGGGUAGCCGGCCUGAGAGGGCGACCGGCACAAUUGGAACUGGGAUACGGCCCAAACUCCUACGGGGGGAGGAGGGGGGGAAUAUUGAACAAGGAAGGAAGUCUGAUGCAGCAACGCCGCGUGCGGGAUGACGGCCUUCGGGUUGUAAACCGCUUUCAAUUGUGACGAAGCUUUUUUGUGACGGUAGCAGUAGAAGAAGCACCGGCUAACUACGUG
RNAcentral lists this ribosomal RNA (467 nucleotides) under uncultured bacterium. RNAcentral describes it as "partial 16S ribosomal RNA". It matches the Rfam family "Bacterial small subunit ribosomal RNA", at positions 28 to 507 of the family's 1533-position model. The record is from RNAcentral.